CUGGCUUCUUCAUCUUCUCAACCAGCUGCCGAACAGGACUGUGUUUCGUGUAAGAUCAUCGGAACGGCCAGUCUAUUCGGCAUCGGUUGCUACAUAAUUUUUGCCACAAGACCAAUCGGAUACUAUGCAACAAGGCCUGUAACUCGACAAAUAAUUCGAUCCUUAUCAGCAGUUCCAUUCUACGCAUCAAUCGCUCGAUUCUUCUAUCUACCGCCAUUCGAAUCAAUCGAUCCAACGAAAGAUGUCAAACAUUAAUGUAAUUUUUUGUUGAAUUUUUACUUGUUUUACGUAAUAAAUGUUGUUUAAGUAGAUUC
Non-coding RNA from Caenorhabditis elegans, 314 nucleotides. The record is from Ensembl. Lineage: Eukaryota; Metazoa; Nematoda; Chromadorea; Rhabditida; Rhabditidae.